This 1232-nucleotide ribosomal RNA is filed under the name Weissella confusa. Its description in RNAcentral is "bacterial SSU rRNA". It matches the Rfam family "Bacterial small subunit ribosomal RNA", at positions 26 to 1263 of the family's 1533-position model. The record is from RNAcentral. Lineage: Bacteria; Bacillati; Bacillota; Bacilli; Lactobacillales; Lactobacillaceae.
GGAGAAAUUACGGCCGCGUAUACAUGCAAGUCGAACGCUUUGUGGUUCAACUGAUUUGAAGAGCUUGCUCAGAUAUGACGAUGGACAUUGCAAAGAGUGGCGAACGGGUGAGUAACACGUGGGAAACCUACCUCUUAGCAGGGGAUAACAUUUGGAAACAGAUGCUAAUACCGUAUAACAAUGACAACCGCAUGGUUGUUAUUUAAAAGAUGGUUCUGCUAUCACUAAGAGAUGGUCCCGCGGUGCAUUAGCUAGUUGGUAAGGUAAUGGCUUACCAAGGCGAUGAUGCAUAGCCGAGUUGAGAGACUGAUCGGCCACAAUGGGACUGAGACACGGCCCAUACUCCUACGGGAGGCAGCAGUAGGGAAUCUUCCACAAUGGGCGAAAGCCUGAUGGAGCAACGCCGCGUGUGUGAUGAAGGGUUUCGGCUCGUAAAACACUGUUGUAAGAGAAGAAUGACAUUGAGAGUAACUGUUCAAUGUGUGACGGUAUCUUACCAGAAAGGAACGGCUAAAUACGUGCCAGCAGCCGCGGUAAUACGUAUGUUCCAAGCGUUAUCCGGAUUUAUUGGGCGUAAAGCGAGCGCAGACGGUUAUUUAAGUCUGAAGUGAAAGCCCUCAGCUCAACUGAGGAAUUGCUUUGGAAACUGGAUGACUUGAGUGCAGUAGAGGAAAGUGGAACUCCAUGUGUAGCGGUGAAAUGCGUAGAUAUAUGGAAGAACACCAGUGGCGAAGGCGGCUUUCUGGACUGUAACUGACGUUGAGGCUCGAAAGUGUGGGUAGCAAACAGGAUUAGAUACCCUGGUAGUCCACACCGUAAACGAUGAGUGCUAGGUGUUUGAGGGUUUCCGCCCUUAAGUGCCGCAGCUAACGCAUUAAGCACUCCGCCUGGGGAGUACGACCGCAAGGUUGAAACUCAAAGGAAUUGACGGGGACCCGCACAAGCGGUGGAGCAUGUGUUUAUUCGAGCAACGCGAGACCUUACCAGGUCUUGACAUCCCUUGACACUCCAGAGAUGGAGCGUUCCCUUCGGGACAGUUGACAGUGUGCAUGAUGUCGUCAGCUCGUGUCGUGAGAUGUGGGUAGUCCGCACGAGCGCACCCUAUACUAGUGCAGCAUCAGUGGUACUCUGUGAACUGCGUGACUACGAGAGUGGAUGACGUCCAUCAUCAUGCUAGACUGGCUCACACGUGCUACAUGGCUAUACCACGAGGUGGCCCACACCCCGCAGGA